Molecule: ribosomal RNA, 440 nt
Filed under: uncultured bacterium
Lineage: Bacteria
Description: partial 16S ribosomal RNA
Rfam family: Bacterial small subunit ribosomal RNA
Source: RNAcentral
CCUACGGGGGGCAGCAGUGGGGAAUAUUGCACAAUGGGGGAAACCCUGAUGCAGCAACGCCGCGUGAGUGAAGAAGUAUUUCGGUAUGUAAAGCUCUAUCAGCAGGGAAGCAGUUGACGGUACCUGAUUAAGAAGCCACGGCUAACUACGUGCCAGCAGCCGCUGUAAUACGUAGGGGGCCAGCGGUAUUCGGAUUUACUGGGUGUAAAGGGAGCGCAGGCGGGAGUGCAAGGCUGGAGGGAAAGCCCGGGGCCUAACCCCGGAACUGCUCUGGAAACUGGGCGGCUAGAGUACUGGAGGGGCAGGCGGAAUUCCUGGUGUAGCGGUGAAAUGCGUAGAUAUUAGGAGGAACACCAGUGGCGAAGGCGGCCUACUGGACAGUAACUGACGUUGAGGCUCGAAAGCGUGGGGAGCAAACAGGAUUAGAUACCCUGGUAGUC